UGGGGCACCUGGCAUUGGCCACUGUCGGGAGACAGGAUACUGGGCUGGAUGGACCUUUGGUCUGACCCGGUACGGCCUUUCUUAUGUUCUUCUGCUAAUUCUUGGUCUGCUGCCUGGAGGCUGUGAUGGUGGCUGCACUCGGAAUUCACAGACCGACCGACCGACAGGCAAGCCAAGCUCCCAGCAUUCUGGGGGAGUGAAAUGAACAGCAUUCCGCUGUGUGCGUCACCCUCCAGCUAAUUAGCUCAUUGAUGCUGUUGAGGAGCUUUUGGAAGAACCUGAGCAGAAAAGCAGACUGUAUUGCAGAGAUAGCAAUGCAAACAGCUGCCUGUCUAACCUACGGGGACCCACCACUCCUGCAGAGAGACUGAGCAGGCGUAGGCAGCCAUUCUGCACCUGGCUCCAUCAGCAAAUCCCCCCCUCUCUUGCAGUGAGAGAAAUUGUGUCUCCAGCGUCCUCACUCUGCUCCCCCAAAGAGCCUCGCCCUGCUCCUGAUGGGAAGCCGCUGUCUAGAAUCAAGAGUGUUUAUUGACCCUCCAGGAGCCGUUGAGGGAAAGGUUAGGGCCGUCAGAGCUGUUACAGUUUCCAGGAAACUGGAAAAGCCACCAGAGUGCGAGAUGAUCGGGGUAAGUAACGACAUGCCUCUGGUAAACGUAGCGCGCAGUGCUCGGGCCGUUCCCCCGGAGAUCACUGGGGGCAUACAGAGGAGAGAGUUCAGCAUCCUCACACUGCAACCUGCAGCCCAGAGAGGGGAAGCAACUCCCACAAGGCCAGACAGCGAGUCUGGGACAGAGCUGGUCACAGUCCAUGGCUCUUGACUCCCUCAGCCUCAUCUGCUGGCCCAUGCUAUGUGGCAAACGGCGGCUUCCAAGUUCUCGCCGGUUGUUCCCAGAUAGUGGUUAGCACAUUCAGCUGCUGUCCUCUGACGUUUUCCACUCAUCACUAAGCAGAACUAGUGGCUCAUGGCACAGGAAUUGUUAAUGACUCAAGCUGCACUUGGCUUUACACAGACGUGUGUUUUUGCUUUGCCCUGUCUCACUGCUGUAGCAGAGCGAUGCUGGUGAGCUCCACUUCAUCCAGAUGUUCAUUUCAGGGAGAAGACACCAAGCCCUUCGGAGAAGAACACAUCCCUUUAACCAUGGCAACUGGCGAGGUUCUAAUCCCACCUCCGCCAGGGGAAGCACGCGUCCCGAACAGAACGAUCCACCCUGACUUAUCCCCCAUUGAAUCAGCCAAUUGCAGCUUCAUUUCUGGUCAGGAGUCACUCACCUCUGACUUGAAAUCCCUUCAGACUGCACACAAAUUAGGCAUUAAAAAUACUCAUUACAGUCAACAUGACACACCGUCAUUAUUUCAAAAUAAUUGUUGAAAAGGCUCAGUUAGCUACACAGACUUCACUUUGGUGCAGAAAGGUGACCAGAAAACCCCCAACAACCUCACCCCAGGAAGUGCAAUCAAUGCUUGUAAUCCUUUUAAAUAUAAAAGGUAGUUGCUUGUAGCUGCCAACAUCUUAAAAAAGCUAUGAUUUCCCUGGAGAGAGCCCUUAUCAGCUAGGGCUGCAUGUCAUUCUGGCUGUUUGUCAAUCCAUCAGACUUCAGUGCCACUGACAGUAAGAAGCCAGGCGUUAAGAUUAUCACAUUUAGCCGUAAUGUAGCACAGAUUGUGUUGACAUUUGGAAUAUAUUCCACCUCAGGAGCCAUUUGACUUCUACACUUUCUCCCCAAAGAAAAAAAUGCUUUGAAAUAUUUCAGAAAGAAACCAUUGUUCUGCGGGAAGCCGGGUGGAUGUGCUGCCCCGUUCCGUUGUCCCAUGAACCACAGCACGACGGGAGGCGACUGGCCAGGCAGGCUAUGGUGACCAGCACCUGGGAUGGAAAGCACGAAACGCUCUGGCGUAGGCUCUCGUAAAGCACAAAGAAGGAAUUUCUAGAGGGAAGUUGGCCGUGGAGUCUUUGGACACUGGAUUUACACGGUGUAACUGCAGCGGCAUUGCACUGAAAAACAAGGUCAUCCUCAAUGCAUGGCCUGGGGAGACGCGCCCAGUAAUAUGCCCCCGGCCUCCCUCCUGUGUGGUGAAGACAGUGAGCAUGGUGCUCACACCAACAUGAAGGCUAUCGAAGCAUUGGAUCUCAAGGCAUCAUUGGCCAAGGAGCUGCAGAGCUCGCGCCAGGAGAAAGAGCUGUACAGAGAGAGAUCCAUCCCAGGCCAUGCUUUGGAGGGGGAACCUGGCCAGAGCCCAUGGAAAGGAAUGGUGGUAAAUGACCUGAAAUUAAGUGAUUAAUCUCUUUAAAUAAGUGUGAAACCAUCUUCCAGAAAAAGUUAAUCUAGUCCCAGUGGCUCUAGUGCCUUUCCUGGGCUCCAAUCAAUAUGUGGUCGCUUGCUUUUCAUUUGCAAUUCACAGUAAUUGCAAAGGAGCAUUUUCUGAAGAAAAUGACAUUCUAGAAGCAGAGAUGCUAAGAGACAGACUAGGAUCAAUUCGAUUUAAAUCCCAGAGCAGCGAGUGCUGUCAAAUGUGCAGGAGAGAUGGAGACAUUCCAGGAGUCAUGGGCUCUGUAUGCUGGAUUCCCCUACUCAGAGUGGCAGGAAUGAUCAAAGCCUGGACUGACAUCAUGUAUCUCCUGCCUGUUCAUUCGGAGGCCUGUGCUGCCUCCAGAUGGAGCUGGGAGGGGAGAUACGUUCUGCUGAGCCUUCGUCAGCAGAAGCUGGGAGGAAGAUGGAUCACAAAAUUAUAAGGUUAGGAAAGAGGAAUAAGAUGGACCCAAUGCCACGUGUUUCCUGCAGGCGCAGCAAUGAACCUUGCUCUGAUCCACAGGCUGCCCAGAACCGGCGCACUCCAGAGCCUGCCGCAAGCUGCCCAAGUUGAAUAAGAAGCUGUCAGGCAGGGUAGGGAAGAAAUCCUUCUGUGGAGCCUGGGAAGGUACUGAAGCAUAAGGCACCGGCCUCCCCAGGCUGGGCAGGAGGAUAACGGCCGGGGGGUCUCUCUCUGCCAGCAUCACCGGGUUCCCAGGUUGGUCAUUUCGGAGCCCACGCGUCCCAGCUCGUCACAGCACACGGCUGGGCCCAGCGACGCCUCAAGCAUUGCAGAGACGCCCCUCACCGCAGACUCAGCACCGUCUCCAUCCAGAGGAAGCAAAGUCUCCUCCCCUCACUCAGCCCAAGCUGUUUUCCUGCUUACUCAGCGAAACCUCUGCACUCCUGUAUUCGGAAUUUUAAGCCUGUUCCCGAAGGACACCUGCUGCCUGCCCACAACAGCAUAACAGCCGCCUUGCCCAGCAAUCACGGGCCGGCCCCUGCCCGCUCCGUGGGCCCAGAGAACACCCAGCGCGCCUCCGAGGACUGAAAAGAGCAGGAGGAAGUUGCCUCAGGAAGGCAAAGGUGGCUCCUGGCUGGACCAGGACCGUGGGGCCGUGUGCGAUGACGCAGGGUUCUGCCCGGGUGCCCCGCUGGUCCUGGGGAGCCAGUGCGUGGCGCUGGGAAACGUCCCUCAGCCAGGAGCAUGUGAAGUCAAGGCUGUUGAGCGUGGGUCUCUCCGCGGCCUCGCUGGAGCGGUGCCCGGCAGAGAAGGAGAAGUUUUGUGAAGGGGAAGGCUUCUGGCUGGCUGGCUGGCUGCAGCACGGCUGAUUGCAUUGCCAGGCUGCGGAGCCAGCUGCCCUGACACUAAAUAGCCCUGUCAGGACUUCUACAAGGCGAGGCCACAAGUGUUUUGCGAGUGCCGGCACACCGGCGAGAUAAGGUUUCACCUCCCUGGCUCUGGCUGGAAAUUAGGGGCAGGCAGCAGGCGGGAGCAAAUGGAGAUAAAUGAGCGUGCCGCGUGGCUCGCCGCCCACAGGACGCUGACAUCAAAAAUAAGUAAAUAAAAAAUCACCAGCCUUUUAUCUGGGCACAGCUGUGGACGGACUCUGUGAUAACCGUAAAGGAUGAGAGCAUGGCACGUGCCGUAAUGGGCUCAGAAAGUGACCUGCCAUCCCUCAUCUCCGGUGCAGGAAGGGCCGCAGCCACACUCCCAUUCGGCUGCGAAAAGCAGAGCGCGUGAACGUGAGUCACUUCUGCCAGCUGCCUUUCUCCCUGUGCACCGUCCGGUCAGGGAACGCCCCGGCUGCAGUUUCUGCUCUCGCCAUACGGACGUUGUGUAACAGGGUCUGGGCUGUCCCCACCUCUGUCUCCCUUUGAGCAGUCCUGGAGCCCCCCGAGAGAGGCCUGGUGUUCACGCAGCCUCUCCGGUGACACUAACGCUGCAGCUCCUGCGCAGUGUGUGGCCGUCGGGCUGCGUGACGCAGGAGUGCUGUAGUGGACGGAGAGGGCUUCACACUCGGCACCUGGACACUCCCACCUGCCCUUAUCUGCCCUGGGCUUCAGGCAGUGCAGUGCCUGUGGUGGGUGCUAGUGACCGCCGGCAUUCAGAGCCCCAUGGCGUCUAGGCCUGCGCUGAGCAGGGGAGCCGCGGCGCUGAGCUGGUGCCAGUGCAGUGCUGGGACUGGCACAGCCCCGAGCCUUGAGCGGGGCAAAGGAGCAGCGCGUUCUCCUGCUCUGCCCGCGGUGCGCGAGGAGGCCCCGCACAGGCUACGGGCUGGCGUCACUGGCUUCUGGCAGUUCCAUGCUACGUGUAAGGACGCCGAGCAGGCUGUUCUGUGCUGAGCAGCUCGUGUUUGCGCUGCAACGUGCAGACAAUAGGAUCUGGCCCUUGGGAGCCCACAGCCCCACAAGUGGCCACGUGUAGGUUGAGGGGGUCCAAAUUCUCAUUAUGGGGGCCCGCAUUUGACCCCUCUGACAGCUACACUCACUUCUUGCCCUUCCCCCUUCAUGACCCCCGUGUCAAUCACAGGCCACCCAAAGCUUGGGGCGCACCCAGUGCCUGCUGACAGCACUGGCUGGGACACUCCAGCAGGGAUGCCAUGGUGCCCCUGCCCCAUAUGAUCCCAGGGGAUACACUUCUAGGCUCCAGCCCCACGCAGAGCAGCCAGGCGCCAAGCCCCACAGCUUCCAGUGACAGCCCCAUGGGAGAGGGAUGAGGUGUGGAGCUGGCGCCUGCGACCUCCAGGAAAAGGCAUUUCCUGCUGUCCCAUCAGAUGUGCUGGGUGGGUCUAAGGCAGGU
Molecule: non-coding RNA, 5091 nt
Organism: Chrysemys picta bellii (western painted turtle)
Lineage: Eukaryota; Metazoa; Chordata; Testudines; Emydidae
Source: RefSeq, a predicted model, not a curated record